This 1098-nucleotide ribosomal RNA is filed under the name Haemophilus haemolyticus. RNAcentral's name for it is "bacterial SSU rRNA". It matches the Rfam family "Bacterial small subunit ribosomal RNA", at positions 30 to 1119 of the family's 1533-position model. Lineage: Bacteria; Pseudomonadati; Pseudomonadota; Gammaproteobacteria; Pasteurellales; Pasteurellaceae. The record is from RNAcentral.
UGAACGCUGGCGGCAGGCUUAACACAUGCAAGUCGAACGGUAGCAGGAGAAAGCUUGCUUUCUUGCUGACGAGUGGCGGACGGGUGAGUAAUGCUUGGGAAUCUGGCUUAUGGAGGGGGAUAACUACGGGAAACUGUAGCUAAUACCGCGUAGUGUCGAGAGACGAAAGUGCGGGACCGCAAGGCCGCAUGCCAUGAGAUGAGCCCAAGUGGGAUUAGGUAGUUGGUGGGGUAAAGGCCUACCAAGCCUGCGAUCUCUAGCUGGUCUGAGAGGAUGGCCAGCCACACUGGAACUGAGACACGGUCCAGACUCCUACGGGAGGCAGCAGUGGGGAAUAUUGCGCAAUGGGGGGAACCCUGACGCAGCCAUGCCGCGUGAAUGAAGAAGGCCUUCGGGUUGUAAAGUUCUUUCGGUAUUGAGGAAGGAGUGUAUGUUAAUAGCAUACAUUAUUGACGUUAAAUACAGAAGAAGCACCGGCUAACUCCGUGCCAGCAGCCGCGGUAAUACGGAGGGUGCGAGCGUUAAUCGGAAUAACUGGGCGUAAAGGGCACGCAGGCGGUUAUUUAAGUGAGGUGUGAAAGCCCCGGGCUUAACCUGGGAAUUGCAUUUCAGACUGGGUAACUAGAGUACUUUAGGGAGGGGUAGAAUUCCACGUGUAGCGGUGAAAUGCGUAGAGAUGUGGAGGAAUACCGAAGGCGAAGGCAGCCCCUUGGGAAUGUACUGACGCUCAUGUGCGAAAGCGUGGGGAGCAAACAGGAUUAGAUACCCUGGUAGUCCACGCUGUAAACGCUGUCGAUUUGGGGAUUGGGCUUAAAGCUUGGUGCCCGUAGCUAACGUGAUAAAUCGACCGCCUGGGGAGUACGGCCGCAAGGUUAAAACUCAAAUGAAUUGACGGGGGCCCGCACAAGCGGUGGAGCAUGUGGUUUAAUUCGAUGCAACGCGAAGAACCUUACCUACUCUUGACAUCCAUGGAAUUCUGUAGAGAUACGGGAGUGCCUUCGGGAACCAUGAGACAGGUGCUGCAUGGCUGUCGUCAGCUCGUGUUGUGAAAUGUUGGGUUAAGUCCCGCAACGAGCGCAACCCUUAUCCUUUGUUGCC